This 253-nucleotide ribosomal RNA is filed under the name uncultured bacterium. RNAcentral's name for it is "partial 16S ribosomal RNA". It matches the Rfam family "Bacterial small subunit ribosomal RNA", at positions 524 to 776 of the family's 1533-position model. The record is from RNAcentral.
UACGUAGGGGGCGAGCGUUGUCCGGAGUUACUGGGCGUAAAGGGCAUGCAGGCGGUCGGACGCGUUUUGUGUGACAGCGGGUGGCUCAACUUCGCGAGGAUACGAAAGACGGUUUGACUUGAGGGCUCGAGAGGGACACGGAAUUCCGGGUGGAGUGGUGAAAUGCGUAGAGAUCCGGAGGAACACCGAAGGCGAAGGCAGUGUCCUGGCGAGUGACUGACGCUGAGGUGCGAAAGCCAGGGGAGCGAACGGG